Carassius auratus (goldfish) is the source of this 2821-nucleotide long non-coding RNA. RefSeq lists it as uncharacterized. The record is from RefSeq and is a predicted model, not a curated record. The transcript is spliced from 11 exons. Lineage: Eukaryota; Metazoa; Chordata; Actinopteri; Cypriniformes; Cyprinidae.
GACCUAAAUUGAGGUCCCUACGGGUAAACAAGCUAAUAAUUUACACAGAAUGAAGUUUCUUGAAAAUCUAAAAAUGCAGAAAGUUUCCUGUGAGGGUUAGGUUUAGGGGUAGAGUUGGUGUAGGACGAUAGAAAAUACUGUCUGUACAGUAUAAAAACCAUUACACCUAUGGAGAGUCCCCACAAGGAUAGCUGACCAGACAUGUGUGUGUGUGAGUGUGUGUGUGUGUGUGUGUGUGUGUGUGAGUGUGUCUCUGAUUGUGUGUGUGUGUGUGUGUGUGUGUGUGUGUGUCUCUGAGUGUGUGUGUGUGUGUUGGUUUUUGUGGUUUACAAGGACUUUUGACCUGAAUACGCACCAGCAUUACAGGGACAUUUGGGUUUAUGAGGACAGGGCCCAUGUCCUUAUAAUUCCGACAGUGUAGAUGCCUUUCUCUAUGUCCCAGAAGCUCCCUCUCAAAGUUUCGCGCCAUGUCCUAAUAUACCACAAAAAUCGGAAAUUUUACUAUACACUGUGUAUCCUCUGAGCUCGGGAGUGCGCCCCUGCAGCCCGGACCCGGUACUGCAUCCGCGUCAUCGAAAAUUUGCAUAUUUUACACUUGUGUAAUUUUGGAGGCCGCUGAUUGGCUAGAUCGCCACCGGAGGGCGGGAAAUCGCGAAAACAAAAUGGCGGCGGUGGGCGGGGCUACAUUCUGCCGCUAAUAGCUCCGUACAAGUAAGUUAAUGCAGUUUGGUAAUUAUUUAGACAUUUUUUGCUAUAAUUUAUCGAUUGUAUAUGAUUAUAUAAAUGCAUAAUGAUCGUGCAAUUAAACAUAUUCCUUAAAUAUCAUCAUAUAACGUAUGAAUGUGACAUCAAAGCUGAAAUUACUCAGUUUAAUAUCAGUAUAUUAAUGUAACGCUAUUAAUGUAACAUUUCAUAGAUUGUUAUUUAAAUAUAUUAUUAUUAUUAUAAUUAUAAAUCCCGUAUACUCGUGCUCUAAUCAGCGAGGCAAGCGUGACGGUUUAUUACUUCCUGUUUGGACCGGACGCAAUCUGUGCACCUGAAGCGAAGACAUCUGUGGUGUGAAGCUGUUGGAAACAACUAUUAUAUUAAAGCAGACACAGAGGAUGGCUGAAGGUGCGAGGCGAAGGAGAAAGCUGAGGCCAUACAGUGUUCACUUCAACAGAAAGACCAUAAUGGGCUCAAGGGCAGGUUCAUCACUGAUCUUAAAGGGAGGGGUGUGUUCAGCUGUACUGACUUUGAGAAAGGAGAUUUCCUGCUGGAAUACAGAGGAGACCUCAUCAGCAAAGAAGAAUGUGAGCGGAGGCAAAGAAUAUAUCACGAUGCACUUAAAGUUUUCAUGUUUGAGUUUCGCUACAAUGGAAAACUCCUCUGUGUCGAUGCAGCCCGAGAUGACGGUUCUCUUGGGCGGCUUGUAAACGAUGACCAUAUUAACCCAAACAGCAGGAUGAAGACGAUUCGUGUGGAUGGAAAACCUCACUUAUGUUUAUUUGCCACAAGGAGCAUCUGUCCUGGUGAAGAGAUCACAUAUGAUUAUGGUGAUUCUGAGUGGCCAUGGAGAUGCACGACUUUUCUAUAGUGUGGUUGAACCGUCCACUCUUGAAGUCAACACUCUGUCCCAGUCAGAAGACACAGACGUAUAGAAGGUGACUCUGAAGAAGGACCGGUUACUAUUGGAUGAUCAGGACUGUGUUGAGUAGAUGUCACCUGUCAAAGAGCAUGUGUUGAAUGAGGAGGUAUUCACAUGUGUCGGAUGAACUGUUAUUUCAGUGCAACAGUGAAUGCUCUGAAGUCUGAUGUCUUCAUGGGCUGUGAUAUACUUAGCUGUUACCAAAUUGAUCCUGAAGAAAGUGAUGGUGAUUCUGAAGAUGAUGCUCUUGCUGGAGCUGCAGGAGACUCCAGUAAUGCUGGUGUUCAGAAGAUGCCCAUUGAGAGCACCACUGAACUUCCUGAAGAGAGUGAGAGUGAGGCAGAAACUGAAAACCCACGGAGAGGGCAGAAGGUGUCCUGGUCAAACGCUGAAGUUACAGCUGUAAUCAAACAUUUUAAGGACCACAGAGCAAAAGGAAACUGGCCACACUGACUGAAUGCCAGCAGUGUAAAACUGCUGAGGAUCCUGUUUUGGACACCGGGAAAGGGGUGUCCCCUUAAACCACCAUCCAACUGGUUUGGCCAUCAGAGUACUGCUAAACCACAAAAACCAGUAUGUGUGUGUGUGUGUGUGUGUGUGUGUGUGAAGGGCACCGCCUUUCACAAUGUAAAAACACAUACAGGCUUGUUUAAGGAUGAAGCGCUCAUCUCACACACACACACACACACACACACACACACACACAUGCUAACACACAUUUUUCUAGUACAGGCAUAAAGGCUGUGUGUCUGUGAUUAUGCAUGCGUGUUCAUGUGGGAGUGUGUGUGAGACGCAUGCAUGCAUGAAGGCAGGUCUGUAUUUGUUCAGGCACGUGUGUGGGCGCCUCGGCUCUCUCUGAGUCUCAUUAUUUUAGGAGUUGCUGUAGUUUCACUGUGUUGAAUGUCAGUUUGGGCAUCAUGGAAUGUGAAGCAUUAAACACUGACCACCUUCAGGACGCUUCUACCCCAGAAUUCUCCUCAUACUGAAUCAUCUGGACAUUCUUGUGAUUUGACUCUAGCUGCACAUAAGUUUUAAAGGAAUAGUUCAGCUGGAAAGCAUCCUUUAUUCCCCCUUGUCUCGCUUUAAUCAGUCUUCAGUAAAAGAGAAAAAGAGACGUUUAGCAGAAUGUUCAUGCUGCUCUUUCCCACCCAACGCUGUUGCUCUGCCACUCUGGACAGAACUGAAUAAGUCUGA